This 497-nucleotide ribosomal RNA is filed under the name uncultured bacterium. RNAcentral's name for it is "partial 16S ribosomal RNA". It matches the Rfam family "Bacterial small subunit ribosomal RNA", at positions 28 to 507 of the family's 1533-position model. The record is from RNAcentral.
GAUGAACGCUGGCGGCGUGCCUAAUACAUGCAAGUCGAGCGAACAGACGAGGAGCUUGCUCCUCUGACGUUAGCGGCGGACGGGUGAGUAACACGUGGAUAACCUACCUAUAAGACUUGGAUAACUUCGGGAAACCGGAGCUAAUACCGGAUAAUAUAUUUAACCGCAUGGUUCAAUAGUGAAAGACGGUUUUGCUGUCACUUAUAGAUUGAUCCGCGCCGCAUUAGCUAGUUGGUAAGGUAACGGCUUACCAAGGCAACGAUGCGUAGCCGACCUGAGAGGGUGAUCGGCCACACUGGAACUGAGACACGGUCCAGACUCCUACGGGAGGCAGCAGUAGGGAAUCUUCCGCAAUGGGCGAAAGCUUGACGGAGCAAAGCCGCGUGAGUGAUGAAGGUCUUCGGAUCGUAAAACUCUGUUAUUAGGGAAGAACAAAUGUGUAAGUAACUAUGCACGUCUUGACGGUACCUAAUCAGAAAGCCACGGCUAACUACGUG